ACAUAGUUUUAGAUCUGAAAAAUCUCGCAUAAACUAAAAUAAAAUCAAUCAUAACAAAUUUUAGAUCAUAUCUAAAUAUUUUAUGAUUCUAAAUUUUAUUCUCAUGGUUAAAAUAAUUUUAAUCAUAUAGAUUAGAUGAUCUACUUUUCAUACAACUCAUGUUUUGUAUCACAUACAAUAAAUCCUAAGAUUUCAUCAUCUAGGAUUUUGUAGAAAAAUAAGUUCUUCCUUUAAUUUUCUUCUUUAUGGGAUUAAAUUACAUAGCACCCCUACACAU
RNAcentral lists this long non-coding RNA (277 nucleotides) under Elaeis guineensis (African oil palm). RNAcentral describes it as "long non-coding RNA (EGUI_LNC032922)". Lineage: Eukaryota; Viridiplantae; Streptophyta; Magnoliopsida; Arecales; Arecaceae. The record is from RNAcentral.